Molecule: ribosomal RNA, 358 nt
Filed under: uncultured bacterium
Lineage: Bacteria
Description: bacterial SSU rRNA
Rfam family: Bacterial small subunit ribosomal RNA
Source: RNAcentral
GACGAACGCUGGCGGUGUGCUUCACACAUGCAAGUCGAACGAGGUAGCAAUACCUAGUGGCGGACGGGUGAGUAACGCGUGGGAAUCUGCCUUUAGAUGGGGGGAUAAACGGGUCGAAAGACUCGCUAAUACCGAAUAUGACGAAAGUUGAAAGGAGUAAUCCGUCUAAAGAUGAGCCCGCGUCCGAUUAGCUAGUUGGUAGAGUAAAAGCCUACCAAGGCGACGAUCGGUAGCUGGUCCGAGAGGAUGAUCAGCCACAAUGGGACUGAGACACGGCCCAUACUCCUACGGGAGGCAGCAGUGGGGAAUUUACGCAAUGGCGAAAGCCUAGACGUAGCGACACCGCGUGAGCGAAGAA